GCCUGGCUGGCUCAGUUGGUAGGGCAUGUGACUCUUGAUCUUGGGGUUGUGGGUUUGAGCCCCACGUUGGAGGCA
This 75-nucleotide transfer RNA is filed under the name Felis catus (domestic cat). It matches the Rfam family "tRNA". From Rfam's summary of the family: Transfer RNA (tRNA) molecules are approximately 80 nucleotides in length. Their secondary structure includes four short double-helical elements and three loops (D, anti-codon, and T loops). Lineage: Eukaryota; Metazoa; Chordata; Mammalia; Carnivora; Felidae. The record is from Rfam by way of RNAcentral.